Molecule: ribosomal RNA, 465 nt
Filed under: Triticum aestivum (bread wheat)
Lineage: Eukaryota; Viridiplantae; Streptophyta; Magnoliopsida; Poales; Poaceae
Description: partial small subunit ribosomal RNA
Source: RNAcentral
AUGAUGCUCGCCGCUGACGUCCACCUCGGCAACAAGAAAUGCGACUUCCAGAUGGAGCGCUACGCCUACAAGUGCCGCUCCGAUGGCAUCUACAUCAUCAAUCUGGGCAAGACGUGGGAGAAGCUCCAGCUCGCGGCAAGGGUCAUCGUGGCCAUCGAGAACCCCCAGGACAUCAUCGUCCAGUCCGCCCGCCCCUACGGCCAGCGCGCCGUCCUCAAGUUCGCGCAGCACACCAGCGCCAACGCCAUCGCCGGGAGGCACACCCCUGGUACCUUCACCAACCAGAUGCAGACCUCCUUCAGCGAGCCACGCCUGCUCAUCCUCACUGACCCAAGGACCGACCACCAGGCCAGGAUGGUUCUGCAGAUGCUUGAUAUUCUGAACUUCUUCUUGCUGUGUUUUGCUGCAGGUGAAUGGAGCAGCAAGGCCAAGCACCCUCCGAGCGCCUUCAUCGUCUUCAUGUGA